UGGAGGAUCUAGCAAAUGCCUAG
This 23-nucleotide microRNA is filed under the name Anolis carolinensis (green anole). RNAcentral's name for it is "aca-miR-5435c-3p". The record is from miRBase by way of RNAcentral. Lineage: Eukaryota; Metazoa; Chordata; Lepidosauria; Squamata; Anolidae.